CCUACGGGUGGCAGCAGUGAGGAAUAUUGGUCAAUGGGCGGAAGCCUGAACCAGCCAAGUAGCGUGCAGGAUGACGGCCCUACGGGUUGUAAACUGCUUUUAUACGGGAAUAACGCGCCUUACGUGUAGGGCUUUGCAUGUACCGUAUGAAUAAGGACCGGCUAAUUCCGUGCCAGCAGCCGCGGUAAUACGGAAGGUCCGGGCGUUAUCCGGAUUUAUUGGGUUUAAAGGGAGCGUAGGCCGCAUGUCAAGCGUGAUGUGAAAUGUCCGGGCUCAACCCGGGCCUUGCAGCGCGAACUGGCGUGCUUGAGUCUGCGGAAGGCAGGUGGAAUUCGUGGUGUAGCGGUGAAAUGCGUAGAGAUGACGAGGAACACCGAUGGCGAAGGCAGCUUGCUGCAG
Molecule: ribosomal RNA, 399 nt
Filed under: uncultured bacterium
Lineage: Bacteria
Description: partial 16S ribosomal RNA
Rfam family: Bacterial small subunit ribosomal RNA
Source: RNAcentral